RNAcentral lists this long non-coding RNA (386 nucleotides) under Drosophila guanche. Lineage: Eukaryota; Metazoa; Arthropoda; Insecta; Diptera; Drosophilidae. The record is from RNAcentral.
CUCUCGUCUAUUUUUUCCGUGAAUCCUACAUCCCGUUGGGCGCCAAUUAUGUCUAAAUGGCUGUCCUGCGCCGCGGUCUCCGUGGCGCAAGCUCCAGAGGCGGCGAUCGGGUACACCUGGCCCCGCUGAGGGGGAAGGUGGUUGCCGUUUGGGCAACUAAGAUGAAGAAGAAAAAUCUGAAGAUUUUGGUGAGAGAGUGACUGUCCUCUAUCUUGUUGGCACUUAAGUCUCAUCAAUAUAAUUAGGUUAAUCAAUUGUUUACGACUUUCGUCGGAGUUGCUCCGAACUAUCCAUUCAUUUAUGCGUCAAAACUUUAUCUGACACUUAAUUAUUAACUUAACCGAAACAUACCCGGCGAGCCGGAUGCUCAUAAACGGAAAAUGCUG